CCUACGGGUGGCAGCAGUGAGGAAUAUUGGUCAAUGGGCGCGAGCCUGAACCAGCCAAGUCGCGUGAGGGAAGACGGUCCUAUGGAUUGUAAACCUCUUUUGUCGGGGAGCAAAAGACGCCACGCGUGGCGUUCCGAGAGUCCCCGAAGAAAAAGCAUCGGCUAACUCCGUGCCCGCAGCCGCGGUAAUACGGCGGAUUCGAGCGUUAUCCGGAUUUAUUGGGUUUAAAGGGUGCGCAGGCGGAAGCUCAAGUCAGCGGUAAAAUUGAGAGGGUCAACCUCUUCGAGCCGUUGAAACUGGUUUUCUUGAGUGAGCGAGAAGUAUGCGGAAUGCGUGGUGUAGCGGUGAAAUGAAUAGAUAUCACGCAGAACUCCGAUUGCGAAGGCAGCAUACCGGCGCUCAACUGACGCUCAUGCACGAAAGUGUGGGUAGCGAACAGGAUUAGAUACCCGGGUAGUC
RNAcentral lists this ribosomal RNA (459 nucleotides) under uncultured bacterium. RNAcentral describes it as "partial 16S ribosomal RNA". It matches the Rfam family "Bacterial small subunit ribosomal RNA", at positions 338 to 795 of the family's 1533-position model. The record is from RNAcentral.